CCUACGGGAGGCAGCAGUAGGGAAUCUUCCGCAAUGGACGAAAGUCUGACGGAGCAACGCCGCGUGAACGAUGAAGGCCUUCGGGUCGUAAAGUUCUGUUGUUAGGGAAGAACAAGUGCUAGUUGAAUAAGCUGGCACCUUGACGGUACCUAACCAGAAAGCCACGGCUAACUACGUGCCAGCAGCCGCGGUAAUACGUAGGUGGCAAGCGUUGUCCGGAAUUAUUAGGCGUAAAGCGCGCGCAGGCGGUUUCUUAAGUCUGAUGUGAAAGCCCCCGGCUCAACCGGGGAGGGUCAUUGGAAACUGGGAAACUUGAGUGCAGAAGAGGAAAGUGGAAUUCCAAGUGUAGCGGUGAAAUGCGUAGAGAUUUGGAGGAACACCAGUGGCGAAGGCGACUUUCUGGUCUGUAACUGACGCUGAGGCGCGAAAGCGUGGGGAGCAAACAGGAUUAGAUACCCUGGUAGUCCACGCUGUAAACGAUGAGUGCUAAGUGUUAGAGGGUUUCCGCCCUUUAGUGCUGAAGUUAACGCAUUAAGCACUCCGCCUGGGGGAGUACGGUCGCAAGACUGAAACUUAAUGAAUUGACGG
This 588-nucleotide ribosomal RNA is filed under the name uncultured bacterium. Its description in RNAcentral is "bacterial SSU rRNA". It matches the Rfam family "Bacterial small subunit ribosomal RNA", at positions 338 to 916 of the family's 1533-position model. The record is from RNAcentral.